GCUUUUCAUGCCAAAAAAAAUCUCCCUGUGUAUGAAUUCAGUGUUGCUGGCAAAACCCCAGUCUGAAAUGGGUUUUCUUACUCACUUAACAUAUUCUUCUGGUGUGAAGGAAUAAUUUCCAACUAAACAUCUUACAGAAAGCUGCUUGCUGAUUUUGCUAAGCACACUUACUGAAAAUUAGUUCUUCUAAUUGCCAAAAAUACUUCUUUUACAAAUGUUUCUUACCUCGAUUCUAGCCAGCAGGCAAGACAUACUCUGAUGGGCAGAGGAGGUAUGAAUCAAGUCAUGAGAAUGGAAACUGGAAGACUAGCAUCAUGAUUCUGAAAAGAAGAAUAUGAAAAAACAUCUGUUUCUACAUGUCCAAAAAGUCAUGAGAUCUUCCUCCAAUGCAUUGCACAAGAAAGUUUGUGCACUGAAUGAAGUGUUAAUCUGCAGAAGGAAGCUUGUCAGCACUCUACAAAAGCAAUGCAGGUCAAGUCACUCCCUCAAAAGCCAGGUAUCCUCAGGAUUUGCUCACCUUUACACCCAUAAGAAAAUUUGGACCUGUGCCAGCCAGUGUGCUCUGGUGUGUAGGAAGCCUCCCAGGAACUGGUCUCUCAAGUGCUACAGAAUGAGCAGGUAGCUCUGAGUCAUUCUGUACCAGCUCCUGGUAGCGACUGUGGCUCACAGGGGACCCUCACUGGAGCAGUCUGUUCCUGAAGGAAUCACCCCACGGGAAGGACCCAUGCAGGACAACCAUACUUUGGGUACCUCUGGUAGCUGUUAUUCUCAUCCAGAAGCACAGUUUGCUGGAUGGAAGUUAACCAAAAAAGCACUUGGCCACACUGACUGUCUGCCACAUCUGCAUCCUGCAGCUUCUAGGGGCAUAUUUUGAAGGCAGAAAUACCUGGUUUUUAGCAUUUGCCAAUUUUGACAGAGUAUUCACAAAGUGCCUGGCUAACUAAUCUGAUUUGUUGCAACAGAUUACUUAUUGUUGAUGAAUAGAAGCUUGAUGUAUUUGUGUCCCCCAAGUCUUUAUAGGCCUGUGCAAGCUUGAGUCCAGGGGUUUUGUUCUGCCCUAUAUCUCUUCCACCCUUUCUAGGAUAUCUCCUUCUCCCCUCCUUGACUUUCAUACGUCUCCUUUCUACUCACAAUAUUCAUACAAUGAAAUCCACUAAGGAUAUUUUGCUGAAUUAAAAUUCACUUCUCAUUAAUGUGAAUAAAGCUUAAAUGAAUCAUUUAUCCUGUAGUGUUUACUGACUUACAGAUAAUAAUCUUGCAUUACAACUAAUAGGUAAAGGUCAGCUUGCAUGAUUCACUGUUAAUUUGUUUUCAUUUAAACUAAUUUACUUAGAAUUUGUACAGCAUUGGCUCCCUGAGGGAAUGCAGCAAAAACUAUGACCUGAUGACAAGUAGAACCAUUAAAUUAUAACAGAAUCAUUAAUAAAAGAGUCUUUUUAAAAUUUGUUUAAAAUCUUGGGAGAUAUUAGCAACUUAUUUAUGUAAGAUAUGGAAAGUACGUCUGUAAUAUAAUUGCAUAUAAAUUAAAAAUUUGCCCGGGGAGCCUUUACAGUGGUCAUAGUUUUCAAAUGAUUGGCAGAUACAUUAACACUGAGUGCCCCAGGAAAAAGAUAAUGAAUUCUGGGGUUUGAUAUUUUUUUCUGAUUUCCAAGGAGAAUAUUAGUGUGUUCUUUUGUUUGUGAUGCUUGACAUUUUCAUAACUAGUUGACUUAAAAAUGAAAUCACUUACGAUGCUGGUCUUGUUAAUAGCUAACUGGAUUAUUUUGACUUUCAUUUGGCUUAGGAGACAGAGCUAGAAAAAAGAACGAAUAACAGUCUCAAGAAAUAGAAGGAAACUUGUUUCAAGUACAUGUAGAUAAGAUAUUUUAGGUGUCAUUGAAUCUUUUAUUAGGGUAUAGCUUCUUCACUUGUUGACAGGAAAACCAAAGAUAUGCUUUAUUAUGCUUUCUAAAUGAGAUGCCCUAGCUCUUUCGUUUAUUUAUUGUGACAUGAGAAGUAAUGUAUUAAUUAAAAAGUCUUGCCAGCCUAGAUCUGACCUAGGUGAUCUGACUUAGAUCAGGCUGUAAUCAACUAAAGACUAUAAUUGAUUUAUAGACUUCUGCAUGACCGUAGGAUGGCAACUCCAGAUGCCUGAAAAUAGCCAGAAGUGGUAGAUCAAAACACUCUUUUAUUUCCCAUUAACAAGACACUGACAUGUUUGCACUCUGCUCACUCAUCAAACUUCUUCACUUUGUUAAAAUAUUUUUUUCAUUGUUAAAAAAGUAAUAUUUGGACAUAUUCUUAGAUGUCACGUCUUAUGACAGUGACAGUUUAUGCUCAUCUCUAGUUAAAAAUAUAACUACUGAUUAACAGAGUUCUUAAUAAUACAAAACAGGAUGCACUGCAAUGUAGUGGGAAGAGCAGAAAAAGAACAUUUAGAAGACCAGACAUCCAAUUUCUUGGAACUGGCACAUGUUGAAUGUGCCUUUAAUACGUUUUCAAACAUGAUAUACCGGAUAUUCUACUUUAUCACAUGCUUAUAGAAAUCCGUUUAAAUUUUAUUUCAAAAGCUCUUCUCCAAAUUGUACUGUUAGAAAUGAGAAGCCUUAUCAAUCUCUAAAUGCUUAUCUUGUCUAUUUUGUCAUGUAAACCCAUUAGUUAUAGAUCCUAAAUUUUAUUCUAAAAUAUCAUAAUACCCAAAGUAAUCUACCAACCAUUUGAAUAAUAUUGUAAAGUCUAAAUAUUUGGAAGAUUCCAUAAAAAAAUGAUUAUUUAACAAAGAGUUAAUUAAACAUAAUUAAACACCUACUCUCUGUUAACUCAAUAUCUCAUCUCCUCUGAGGAGCAAUAGAAAAUGGUCAGAGACAAAUCCUUAGCCAAAAUCAGUAGGGGUACUCUGGCAAAAUAAGUCCCCCUGAAUUUUUGUCUUAGUCAAAUUGAUAUUUAAUUUGAUAUCUGAAGUAGGUAUGGUAUUAGGGGAUAUGACUCUGCAAAGUCUCAAUAUAAUUAUAAGCUUUUAAUAUCCUUACAAUCUUUUCCAUCUCAUGUCUCCCACCUUUUUCCUGAACAAUGAAUUUCACAGUCUUAAUAUAUUCACUGGAAAAAUCAAUACCUCAAUUUUAUGUUAUUAGGUAUACAGAAAUAUCUACUUUAUUAUUUUUAAUGUCCUUAAGGACUGAAUUUUCCAGAGAGGGAACAUUUUAAAGAUUGCAAAUAGUAAAAUUAUACAAAUAGGUUUUAUGGAAUUACAAUUGAAGCUACUAAUUUUCUGUCAACUCUGCACAGCCAUCUACAGCAGGCAGUUUUAUGUCUACUGGAAAGACCUACAACAAAUAUUAUUUAUGC
This is a long non-coding RNA of Melospiza melodia melodia, 3324 nucleotides long. RefSeq lists it as uncharacterized. The record is from RefSeq and is a predicted model, not a curated record. The transcript is spliced from 6 exons. NCBI's taxonomy places the organism in Eukaryota, Metazoa, Chordata, Aves, Passeriformes, Passerellidae.